AAAUCUUGAAUGUUUUGGAGUUCUUUAUCUGCAAGUCUCUCAUCAUGCAUGUAGAGAUAAUGGGCAGCAAAGAGUAUCACAGAUAAUGUGCAACCACAUAAAAAGACAUGCUAGCUACUACCAAAAUUGGCAAAAGGUGCACCAAAAGGUUGUCAUGAUCCAUUUAUCAAAAUUACAAUAUUUCAAAUCCAAAGCAUAAUUUAACUAGUAGAUAACUCAUCUAGGCCUACUCAUGUGUCCAGACACUUUGUCCAAUCCAAUGUUUCUUGAUCAUUGCCUCCUCCCUCAAAAUAACAGCAAGCAUUCUUUUACAAAUUAUUGAAUAAUUGAACAAAACUGACUCACGUUGUAAUCAACCAAAGCAUAAUGGUUUUUCUCCCUUAGUUACACUAUUACUCAUAAGAAUUAGGAACGCGAGGGAUAUGCCAACAACUUUUGGAUAGCAUAUAUGAAGUAACUUUAAUACUGUAGUCACUACUACUUAUCACUAACUUGCUUCCAUAACAACAAUGUUACCGGUUUGUUAGUAACCAAAUAACAAAUCGUGCUCGAAUUAGUCACUAAUUGAAGUCAGUAACAAAUUAACCGAUGAAGCCACACACACUCCCCAAAAAUUGUUGUCCACACACACUCCCCAAAAUUGAAGUCAGUAAGAAUUAGACCACACACACUCCCCAAAAUUGAACUGAAGCCACACACUACCCAAUCGCACCCAAAUUCGCCCACAAAUCACAUCAUCCAAUUUCUCCUCCAUAGUGAUCCUAGUAUCAACAAAGAAGGAAAACAUCAAGUUUUUAGCAAUUAAGUAGACUGACUUGUCAGACUAUCGCACUUCUAAGCCAAACCAAAGUUGCUUCUUGAUCUAGUUCACACCCACUUAGGAAGGCCUCUCUAUUAUCUUUGCUUUUGAUGAAAACAGCAAAUACCUUUGCUUUUUCUUACUUUAUCACUUCCAUCAUGCUUAGAACAGAUAUACACCUUUUGGUAGAGAAGUCAUUACCUUGAGCAAAUUCAUUUUCUUUGGCUAGAUCCUCCUUUUCUUUGGCUAGCUCUGCAGACUCAUUUUGUACUUGCUUAGUCCUCAUGUCUAGGUAUCUCCCAAUCAUUUCUUCAAUCCUUUCACCCUUGUUCUUAGGCCUCUUUAUUUGCUUCUCAUGUUUUUUGCUUG
This 1168-nucleotide long non-coding RNA is filed under the name Sorghum bicolor (sorghum). RNAcentral's name for it is "long non-coding RNA (SBIC_LNC003010)". Lineage: Eukaryota; Viridiplantae; Streptophyta; Magnoliopsida; Poales; Poaceae. The record is from RNAcentral.